Molecule: ribosomal RNA, 422 nt
Filed under: uncultured bacterium
Lineage: Bacteria
Description: bacterial SSU rRNA
Rfam family: Bacterial small subunit ribosomal RNA
Source: RNAcentral
UGAGGAAUAUUGGGCAAUGCCCGCAAGGGUGACCCAGCAACGCCGCGUGGAGGAUGAAUGUCGUAAGAUUGUAAACUCCUGUUAGAGGGGAAGAAUAGUACCGGUUGGACCGGUAUAUGACUGUACCCUCAGAGAAAGCCCCGGCUAACUACGUGCCAGCAGCCGCGGUAAUACGUAGGGGGCAAGCGCUGUCCGGAUUUACUGGGUGUAAAGGGCGCGCAGGCGGGAUAAAAAGUCAGUGGUUAAAUCCUACAGCUUAACUGUAGAACUGUCUUUGAUACUUUUAUUCUUGAGUUCGGGAGAGAGAGACGGAAUUCCAGGUGUAGUGGUGAAAUACGUAGAUAUCUGGAAGAACACCAGUUGCGAAGGCGGUCUCUUGGUCCGACACUGACGCUGAGGCGCGAAAGCGUGGGGAGCAAACA